Molecule: transfer RNA, 74 nt
Filed under: Patescibacteria group bacterium
Lineage: Bacteria
Description: tRNA-Trp
Rfam family: tRNA
About the family: Transfer RNA (tRNA) molecules are approximately 80 nucleotides in length.
Source: RNAcentral
GGGGGCUUAGUUAAGUGGUAUAACACCUCUCUCCAAAAGAGAAGUUGGGGGUCCGAUUCCCUCAGCCCCUGCAA